UGGGAUAGCUCAGUCAGGAGAGCAUGAGAUUCUUAAUCUCAGGGUUGUGGGUUCGAGCCCCACGUGGGCAA
This 71-nucleotide transfer RNA is filed under the name Podarcis lilfordi (Lilford's wall lizard). RNAcentral's name for it is "tRNA.Lys". The stretch from base 6 to 63 matches the Rfam family "tRNA", at positions 8 to 63 of the family's 71-position model. From Rfam's summary of the family: Transfer RNA (tRNA) molecules are approximately 80 nucleotides in length. Their secondary structure includes four short double-helical elements and three loops (D, anti-codon, and T loops). The record is from RNAcentral. Lineage: Eukaryota; Metazoa; Chordata; Lepidosauria; Squamata; Lacertidae.